GCUUACGGCCAUACCACCCUGAGCACGCCCGAUCUCGUCUGUUCUCAGAAGCUAAGCAGGGUGGGGCCUGGUUAGAACUUGGAUGGGAGACCGCCUGGGAAUACCAGGUGCUGUAAGCU
This is a ribosomal RNA of Betta splendens (Siamese fighting fish), 119 nucleotides long. NCBI's taxonomy places the organism in Eukaryota, Metazoa, Chordata, Actinopteri, Anabantiformes, Osphronemidae. The record is from Ensembl.